This 77-nucleotide transfer RNA is filed under the name Oscillospiraceae bacterium. RNAcentral describes it as "tRNA-Val". It matches the Rfam family "tRNA". Rfam says of the family: Transfer RNA (tRNA) molecules are approximately 80 nucleotides in length. Their secondary structure includes four short double-helical elements and three loops (D, anti-codon, and T loops). Lineage: Bacteria; Bacillati; Bacillota; Clostridia; Eubacteriales; Oscillospiraceae. The record is from RNAcentral.
GGGAGCGUAGCUCAGCUGGUUAGAGCACCUGCUUUACACGCAGGGGGUCACAGGUUCGAGUCCUGUUGUUCCCACCA